RNAcentral lists this ribosomal RNA (411 nucleotides) under Triticum aestivum (bread wheat). RNAcentral describes it as "partial small subunit ribosomal RNA". The record is from RNAcentral. Lineage: Eukaryota; Viridiplantae; Streptophyta; Magnoliopsida; Poales; Poaceae.
AUGAUUGUGUUGAACGUUUUCUAUCUUCUUGUUGCUGCCCACGUAAGGAAGCACGCACGUACGAGUACGUGUGUGAUCCAUCUGCUCCGGCCGGGACGGUCAGACAACUCAGCAUUCACAAAUAAUACUCCUCUCUUUCCAACGGGGCUGGCGAGGUUGUCAUUUUUUCUACUCCACCCAUCGAUCAUCAUCGGCUUGGCUGCCGCGCGCGCCAUAUUUAUCGACCGUCCCAAGAGAUUUCGGCACGCAACAACCGAGAGAUUCACCAGUCUAUAUCUCUUACCAGCGGAUAUUUUCGGUGCCAAUAAUGGAUCGGAGCUGCUAGCGGAUGAUUGGGUGAUUUGCAGAUUUGGUUGCUGCCAGGCACGCAAGGAACCACGUACGUGUGUGGAUUGGAUUGCAAGCCUUUGA